RNAcentral lists this microRNA (22 nucleotides) under Schistosoma japonicum. Its description in RNAcentral is "sja-miR-310". Its record names the gene sja-miR-310. The record is from miRBase by way of RNAcentral. Lineage: Eukaryota; Metazoa; Platyhelminthes; Trematoda; Strigeidida; Schistosomatidae.
AUAUUGCAAAUUCCCGGCCUUU